This is a long non-coding RNA of Sander lucioperca (pikeperch), 81 nucleotides long. RefSeq lists it as uncharacterized. The transcript has 3 exons. Lineage: Eukaryota; Metazoa; Chordata; Actinopteri; Perciformes; Percidae. The record is from RefSeq and is a predicted model, not a curated record.
AAAAAUGAAUAGCUGAAAUGCUAAAGCUAAAUUGGAUUAAUAGCUUAAAACCGUAAAAAGAAGGUGAAAUACUGAGAAAAG